CAAGAAGAAUAGCACCCUCGCUCUACAGAGUCUGAACCAGAACGACACUCGGUGCUGUCCUCUUCCCAUGGACUGCAGGAAAAAAUGAAGAAG
This 93-nucleotide long non-coding RNA is filed under the name Callithrix jacchus (white-tufted-ear marmoset). RNAcentral's name for it is "lncRNA (ENSCJAG00000079029.1)". Lineage: Eukaryota; Metazoa; Chordata; Mammalia; Primates; Cebidae. The record is from RNAcentral.